This 391-nucleotide unclassified non-coding RNA is filed under the name soil metagenome. RNAcentral's name for it is "partial contains 5.8S ribosomal RNA, internal transcribed spacer 2, and large subunit ribosomal RNA". The stretch from base 1 to 122 matches the Rfam family "5.8S ribosomal RNA", at positions 35 to 154 of the family's 154-position model. The record is from RNAcentral.
GAUGAAGAACGUAGCGAAAUGCGAUACUUGGUGUGAAUUGCAUAAUCCCGUGAACCAUCGAGUCUUUGAACGCAAGUUGCGCCCGAAGCCAUUAGGCCGAGGGCACGCCUGCCUGGGCGUCACACGUCGUUGCCCCCCCAUCUACUCCUUCGGGAUUGCGGGGGGCGGAUGAUGGCCUCUCGUGCGCCUCGUCGCGCGGUUGGCCUAAAUGCCAAGUCCUCGGCGACGCACGCCACGACAAUCGGUGGUUGCGAAACCUCGGUUGCCUGUCGUGUGCGGUCGUCGCGCAUCGAGGGCUCGAAAAAAUUGCCGGGCUUCGGCUCGACUUUCAACGCGACCCCAGGUCAGGCGGGGUUACCCGCUGAAUUUAAGCAUAUCAAUAAGCGGAGGA